AAAGCAUGAAUCCAUGAGUAUGUAAAUCUAAAUAUUUUUAAGGUGAAAUAGUUAAGGUCUCAUAAUAGCAGUUAUUAUUAUUUCAGAUUUAUUUGUUUAUGUGUAGGAUUAGUAUUGGUUGAGUAAAUACAGGGUUGAUCUAUGUGGGGGACCCAGUGUGGAAGUUUUUAUUUAAUAUAAAGCCAUCAUUUUAUUGGGGGGGAUUCAUAAGUUUAACUUUUUGUCAUGUUUUAUUGUAGUAGCGAUGUUCCUUUCAAGUUUCUCCCCUAUCAGCUUUCGAUGGUAGUGUAUUGGACUACCAUGGCAGUAGCGGGUAGCGAAGAAUUUGGGUUCGAUUUCGGAGAGGGAGCCUGAGAGAUGGCUACCACAUCCAAGGAAGGCAGCAGGCGCGUAAAUUCCCCACUCCCGACGCAGGGAGGUAGUGACAAUAAAUCUCAAUAGGAACCUUUGGGUUUUGUAAUUGGAAUGAGAACAAUGUACAAUCCUUAUCGAUAAACAAUUGGAGGGCAAGUCUGGUGCCAGCAGCCGCGGUAAUCCAGCUCCAA
RNAcentral lists this ribosomal RNA (545 nucleotides) under Blastocystis hominis. RNAcentral describes it as "SSU rRNA". It matches the Rfam family "Eukaryotic small subunit ribosomal RNA", at positions 39 to 594 of the family's 1831-position model. The record is from RNAcentral. Lineage: Eukaryota; Bigyra; Opalinata; Blastocystidae.